Molecule: small RNA, 35 nt
Filed under: Bombyx mori (domestic silkworm)
Lineage: Eukaryota; Metazoa; Arthropoda; Insecta; Lepidoptera; Bombycidae
Description: ovarian small RNA-12506
Source: RNAcentral
AUCGUACCCGAAACCGACACAGGUAGUCAGGUCGA